GACGAACGCUGGCGGCGUGCUUAACACAUGCAAGUCGAACGGAAAGGCCCUUCUUUUCUCUCGUGCUCGAGUGGCGAACGGGUGAGUAACACGUGAGUAACCUGCCCUUGACUUUGGGAUAACUUCAGGAAACUGUGGCUAAUACCGGAUACGACCUCCUGCUGCAUGGUGGGGGUUUGGAAGUUUCGGCGGUUGGGGAUGGACUCGCGGCUUAUCAGCUUGUUGGUGGGGUAGUGGCUUACCAAGGCCUUGACGGGUAGCCGGCCUGAGAGGGUGACCGGCCACAUUGGGACUGAGAUACGGCCCAGACUCCUACGGGAGGCAGCAGUGGGGAAUAUUGCACAAUGGGCGGAAGCCUGAUGCAGCAACGCCGCGUGAGGGAUGACGGCCUUCGGGUUGUAAACCGCUUUCGCCUGUGACGAAGCGAGAGUGACGGUAACGGGUAAAGAAGCACCGGCUAACUACGUG
Molecule: ribosomal RNA, 468 nt
Filed under: uncultured bacterium
Lineage: Bacteria
Description: partial 16S ribosomal RNA
Rfam family: Bacterial small subunit ribosomal RNA
Source: RNAcentral